Molecule: ribosomal RNA, 359 nt
Filed under: Tenerella cneius
Lineage: Eukaryota; Metazoa; Arthropoda; Insecta; Phasmatodea; Pseudophasmatidae
Description: partial small subunit ribosomal RNA
Source: RNAcentral
UUAUACAAUAAAUAUUAAUUAAUAUUUUGGUUAAUUUGAGUUAAAUUUUUUGUGGGUUUACUUUUGGAAUUUUUAGGUGAAAUUUAAAUUUUUAUUAGGUCUUUUUUGAUUCUCUUAAAAUCAAAUAAUAAACUAGGAUUAGAUACCCUAUUAUUUUGUUCGUUAGUUUUCCUGGGUAGUAUUAGUUAUGUUCUUUAAACCUAAAGAAUUUGGCGGUAUUUUAGUCUUUUUAGAGGAACCUGUCCCGUAAUCGAUAGUCCUCGUUUUAUCUUUCUUUUUCUUGUUUAGUAUGUAUAUCGCCGUUAUAAGUUUAUUUUUUUAGAAUUUAAUUUACUUUAUAGGUUAUUUUCUUGUAUUUC